UCGGGAAUUUUGGGCAAUGGGCGCAAGCCUGAUCCAGCCAUGCCGCGUGAGUGAAGAAGGCCUUCGGGUUGUAAAGCUCUUUCGGCGGGGACGAAAUGGUUCGUGCCAAUACCACGGACUGAUGACGGUACCUGAAGAAGAAGCACCGGCUAACUACGUGCCAGCAGCCGCGGUAAUACGUAGGGUGCAGGCGUUAAUCGGAAUUACUGGGCGUAAAGCGCACGUAGGCGGAUUGUUAAGUCAGAGGUGAAAUCCCGGAGCUCAACCUGGGAAUUGCAUUUGAGACUGCACGGCUAGAGUGUGUCAGAGGGGGGUAGAAUUCCACGUGUAGCAGUGAAAUGCGUAGAUAUGUGGAGGAAUACCGAUGGCGAAGGCAGCCCCCUGGGAUAACACUGACGCUCAUGCACGAAAGCGUGGGGAGCAAACAGGAUUAGAUACCCCAGUAGUCCCUGAGCGGGCUGGCAAGGCGCAU
RNAcentral lists this ribosomal RNA (472 nucleotides) under uncultured bacterium. Its description in RNAcentral is "bacterial SSU rRNA". It matches the Rfam family "Bacterial small subunit ribosomal RNA", at positions 355 to 825 of the family's 1533-position model. The record is from RNAcentral.